AUGAAGGCGGAGAAGGCAGCGGUGGCCGCGGCCGCCGUCGGGGGCGACGAGUGGCGGUGCCGGAAGCACCCCGCGGCGAGAUCCGGCGGCGGGGUGUGCCCGUACUGCCUCCGCGACCGGCUGCUGCGGCUCUGCCCCAACUGCGCGCGCGUGCGGCCCUGCCCCUGCACCUGCGCCUCCCCAUCCUCCUCCUCCUCGGCGUCCGGCGACGCCGUCGGCCGGGUGCACAGCCUCAUCGAGCGGGAGCACCGGGUGGCGCGCUCGCGCUCCGUCGCCGCGUCCUCCUCCGCCGCGAUGGCCUCCGUCGCCGCGGCCGCCUCCGCCUCCGGGAGGCGAAAGGCGAGGGUCUGGGGGUGGGCGCCGUUCUGGAGGUCCUCUGCCAAGGACGGGAGCGCGGCGGAGGAGGAGGACGAGGAGGAGAGGCUGGGGCUGGCGAGGUCCAGCUCGGUCUCGGCGACGGCCGUGGAGGCCAAGGCGGUGGCGGCCAAGGCGGCGGCGACCAAGGCGCGGUGGGGGUGGCACUUCCCGAGCCCCAUGAAGGCGUUCCGGCACCGGAGGUCGUCGGCGAGCAUGCCGGAGCGGGGGUGA
Molecule: ribosomal RNA, 588 nt
Filed under: Triticum aestivum (bread wheat)
Lineage: Eukaryota; Viridiplantae; Streptophyta; Magnoliopsida; Poales; Poaceae
Description: partial small subunit ribosomal RNA
Source: RNAcentral